UGUACCAAACCUUUUGCCUUUGACAAAUGCACCCAGGAUAACAGGCUGCUCCAGUACUCUGCUUCUUUCUCAUGCCUGCCUUCACCUGGUCUCUGCCUGAAGACCUGCUGGCAGAAAAGGAGAAAUGCUGUACGAGGUUUAUGAAUAGGUCAGUUUGGUAUACAAACUGAAGCCCUAAGUGGACUGCUACUACUAUUGCAGGAACACAGCACACAAGAAAAGGUGUCUGUCUUUCCUGUGUAAUGGACAGGUUUUGAAUCGUGGGCCCAGAAGGAUUGUCUGAAUUAUAAGGAAUGUCCAUUUGUGCUUUAGCAACUUGAAGCUUCAGUGAAAAGAAUCAGAACACAGAGAAAACUUGCUGCUAGGACAAAAAUGAAGGAAAGAAUCAUCCCAGGAUGGUGAUACUCGGGUUACAGGCUCACAGGCAGAAGGGACUUGGCCUUUCUCAGAU
Molecule: long non-coding RNA, 451 nt
Filed under: Homo sapiens (human)
Lineage: Eukaryota; Metazoa; Chordata; Mammalia; Primates; Hominidae
Description: HSALNT0341755
Source: RNAcentral